UGGGGAAUAUUGCACAAUGGGCGCAAGCCUGUUGCAGCCAUGCCGCGUGUAUGAAGAAGGCCUUCGGGUUGUAAAGUACUUUCAGCGGGGAGGAAGGUGUUGAGGCUAAUAACCUCAGCAAUUGACGUUACCCGCAGAAGAAGCACCGGCUAACUCCGUGCCAGCAGCCGCGGUAAUACGGAGGGUGCAAGCGUUAAUCGGAAUUACUGGGCGUAAAGCGCACGCAGGCGGUCUGUCAAGUCGGAUGUGAAAUCCCCGGGCUCAACCUGGGAACUGCAUUCGAAACUGGCAGGCUAGAGUCUUGUAGAGGGGGGUAGAAUUCCAGGUGUAGCGGUGAAAUGCGUAGAGAUCUGGAGGAAUACCGGUGGCGAAGGCGGCCCCCUGGACAAAGACUGACGCUCAGGUGCGAAAGCGUGGGGAGCAAACA
This 427-nucleotide ribosomal RNA is filed under the name uncultured bacterium. RNAcentral describes it as "partial 16S ribosomal RNA". It matches the Rfam family "Bacterial small subunit ribosomal RNA", at positions 355 to 774 of the family's 1533-position model. The record is from RNAcentral.